CCCUUAGAGUUUGAUCCUGGCUCAGAACGAACGCUGGCGGCGUGGAUAAGACAUGCAAGUCGAACGAGAGAAUUGCUAGCUUGCUAAUAAUUCUCUAGUGGCGCACGGGUGAGUAACACGUGAGUAACCUGCCCCCAAGAGUGGGAUAGCCCCGGGAAACUGGGAUUAAUACCGCAUAAAAUCGCAAGAUUAAAGCAGCAAUGCGCUUGGGGAUGGGCUCGCGUCCUAUUAGUUAGUUGGUGAGGUAACGGCUCACCAAGGCGAUGACGGGUAGCCGGUCUGAGAGGAUGUCCGGCCACACUGGAACUGAGACACGGUCCAGACACCUACGGGUGGCAGCAGUCGAGAAUCAUUCACAAUGGGGGAAACCCUGAUGGUGCGGCGCCGCGUGGGGGAAUGAAGGUCUUCGGAU
Molecule: ribosomal RNA, 412 nt
Filed under: uncultured bacterium
Lineage: Bacteria
Description: bacterial SSU rRNA
Rfam family: Bacterial small subunit ribosomal RNA
Source: RNAcentral